RNAcentral lists this ribosomal RNA (840 nucleotides) under Bacillus subtilis. RNAcentral describes it as "bacterial SSU rRNA". It matches the Rfam family "Bacterial small subunit ribosomal RNA", at positions 128 to 952 of the family's 1533-position model. The record is from RNAcentral. Lineage: Bacteria; Bacillati; Bacillota; Bacilli; Caryophanales; Bacillaceae.
GCCUGUAAGACUGGGAUAACUCCGGGAAACCGGGGCUAAUACCGGAUGGUUGUUUGAACCGCAUGGUUCAAACAUAAAAGGUGGCUUCGGCUACCACUUACAGAUGGACCCGCGGCGCAUUAGCUAGUUGGUGAGGUAACGGCUCACCAAGGCAACGAUGCGUAGCCGACCUGAGAGGGUGAUCGGCCACACUGGGACUGAGACACGGCCCAGACUCCUACGGGAGGCAGCAGUAGGGAAUCUUCCGCAAUGGACGAAAGUCUGACGGAGCAACGCCGCGUGAGUGAUGAAGGUUUUCGGAUCGUAAAGCUCUGUUGUUAGGGAAGAACAAGUACCGUUCGAAUAGGGCGGUACCUUGACGGUACCUAACCAGAAAGCCACGGCUAACUACGUGCCAGCAGCCGCGGUAAUACGUAGGUGGCAAGCGUUGUCCGGAAUUAUUGGGCGUAAAGGGCUCGCAGGCGGUUUCUUAAGUCUGAUGUGAAAGCCCCCGGCUCAACCGGGGAGGGUCAUUGGAAACUGGGGAACUUGAGUGCAGAAGAGGAGAGUGGAAUUCCACGUGUAGCGGUGAAAUGCGUAGAGAUGUGGAGGAACACCAGUGGCGAAGGCGACUCUCUGGUCUGUAACUGACGCUGAGGAGCGAAAGCGUGGGGAGCGAACAGGAUUAGAUACCCUGGUAGUCCACGCCGUAAACGAUGAGUGCUAAGUGUUAGGGGGUUUCCGCCCCUUAGUGCUGCAGCUAACGCAUUAAGCACUCCGCCUGGGGAGUACGGUCGCAAGACUGAAACUCAAAGGAAUUGACGGGGGCCCGCACAAGCGGUGGAGCAUGUGGUUUAAUUC